This 3695-nucleotide long non-coding RNA is filed under the name Panax ginseng (ginseng). Its description in RNAcentral is "long non-coding RNA (PGIN_LNC011273)". The record is from RNAcentral. Lineage: Eukaryota; Viridiplantae; Streptophyta; Magnoliopsida; Apiales; Araliaceae.
UAUUUUUUAAAUUGUAAAACUUACCGAGUCAAUUAAACUCGUUCAAUUGAAAAACUCACGAACAAGUCCGUCCUUCUACUUCUCGUCUUCUCGAUCGAUUCUUUUCCUCUCAACCCUUCUCGGCUUUGUUGCUUCCUCUUUGUUUCCUUCUAGCUUAAUAAAUUCAAUCGAGUCCUCUAAUUCUUCUUUCUUUUUUGCUACUAUAUAAUCAACUACUGAUUUUGACUUUUUCUUCAAACUUCAGUUCUUUGAAAAAAAGUGAACAAUCGCCACCGGUCGGCCGACCGUUGUUGUUCCGGCGUAGAUGUGACUGCUCUGGUGGAAGCCAUCAAGAUAUCUAUAAUCUAUCUAUCUAUUUUAAAUUUACUCGGUUAAGGUGUGGGUGUAAAGGCUAGGUUGUGUUGUGCUAAUAGAAUUUAUUGACUCAAUUCCAAUCUAUUUCUUGCCUAAUUUUGUAAAUUAGAUGUUUAACUUAAGUCCUCUAUUUUUUAAGCUCAAAGGUUAUCUGAGUUUUUGUUUGAAUGUCAUCAACUUCAAAUAUUGACGGAGAUUAGUUUUUCUGCCUGUGAAGUGCUCUGCCUAUGAAGUGUUUGAUAAAAUUCUUCAAUGAAGGUGAUAGGGUGAUUAGGAUUGAGGUAAUCAUGAAAUUGGUUUGUUUAUUUUUUUUACUCCCAUUACAACUUUUUGUAGAUGUUAUUAAAAAAACUAUUUUUUUAUAUAUAUGUACUUGACUUUAAUUAAACAAAAACUAAUUAAAAAUUUCGUUUAUACUAUCAAAAUCAAAAUGUCUAUAUGUACUCUGCUCCGAAUUGGAUUAUGUACUUGCUAAUUGUUGGGGACCACGCUAUGAUCGCCGGUGACCCGAAUAAGUGGCUCCAGUAUAUAAAUGAUUUCUACAAGAUGCAUUGCAUGUGUAAAUAUUAUUGAUCUAAGUGAUUUAUGAGUUUCUCAUUAGUGUUGGUACACUUGCAGAUACGGAGUAUUAUGGAAACAUGAUUAUUGAUUGUGAAAUCAUAUAUUAGUUUUUGAACCACUGCUAUUAUUCUUAGAAAAAAUCAUUAAAACUAUGGUAUUUGGCACAUAGAAGUUUGGAACUGCUAGGAUCUUGAGGACCAAUAGAUCCAUAAUGAAUUUAACAAAAUUUUGUUGAGUUUAUGUUUGUUAAUAUGUAACCUGUUGCAGGACUUUGGAACUCUAUUAUUACUCCUCUUUGAAAACAUAGAUUCGAGUUAAUAUGAGCAUAUGAACCUUAAUUUGACAAUGUUAUUUUCUACAAUUAUCAUCCAUCAGAAAUGUAUGAUUUGAUAAUAGACCUGUUGUAAAUCAUGAAAUUGUUUCGAUCCAAAUGCAGAGAUGAUAUAUAUUCUCAUAUUUUGAAAUCAAAUUAUUACACAGUUUUUCUAUUGUUCCAUAGUUUUCUAUGCCAUUUCAAAAAGGUCCUUUAUAGUUUAUUGUAAAGAAUUAUCCUUACUGCAUACUUGAUUCAGGAUGUAGCAAGUUUUAACAAGUUAAUGAUAAUUUAAAAUACAGAGACUGCUGAGUAGAACAGAGGGAGCUGAUGAUCGACUGUGUUAGCUAUUACUGCUAAUCUAACUUUUAAUAUCCACAGAAAGGGUUGUAUUGAUGUUUCACUAGAAUUUCAUUUCAGAAUCUAGAUAUUAGAACCUGCAAUAAAAUCAUACUCACUCACUAUGUCUAUAUUGACAAUGUUACGUUGUAUCACAUUGGAUGUUACUGGUACAUUAAUAGCUUACAAAGUAGAGCUUGGUGACUACUAUUGCAUGGUAGCCAAAUUUUUUGGAUUGUUCCUUCUCUCUUCUCACUGUUCAAUCGCCUCAUCGAAGGGUUUAAGAAACUCCACCGAGACGCCGCUGUCUCUGCCUCCUCUCUGACCAAUACUUCGUCCCCCAAAGUUCUCUGAUCGUAUGAGCUCAGAUAAGAUUCGUACGAAUUCAAUCAGAGAACAAAAACCUUUUUUUCCAAGGUGGUUUACUAUUACUAUUGAAAAUUGGGAUCUAAUUUUGUCCUUUUUUUUUCUUUCUUCGGCCAUAAAUUGAUUAAAAAGAAACACAGAAGAAAAAUAAUAAUUGUUGAAUUGAAUGCAGGAAUUGAAGAAAAUGAAGGACAUCUUCAGUCAUGAGUCAAUGGUUUGGUCAAGUUGUGGACGAAGAAUAAGAGGGCACUGAUAAUAACAGAAACAUUGAAAAUCAUAAGGUAUCAUUUUCUUGAAAAUAAAUAAAAUAAACUCAUUUUUCCAUAAAAUCAUAAGGUAUCAUAUAAAUGUGUGUCCAUCCACAUAACUUUUGUGAGUUUUUUGUUCAGUCGAAGUAAUGAUACAAUCCCAAAUCAAUUUAACCAUUGAAAGUUUUUUCAGGUAUGAAAGAGAACUAAUUGGAAUUUCUACUACUUCUCUUCUAUUUUUAAUAUUAUCAGAAACGAAAUUAAGGUUAUGCUUUUUGUAUUCUACUCAUUCUAUAAUUUUUAUUUGAUUUGAUUUUGAAGCCAUGUGAAUUGGUUUUCCUGUACAUGAUUUUUUGGGUUAAUUCUAUUCACAAGUUUAAUUGUAAAUUCAUUGUAUGUUAUUUUACUGUUUGAUCAAUUGAAUUCAAUACACGUGUGGAUUGUUAUGUGAAAGUUAAAACUAAAACUAUGAAUAAUAGUAAUGGCUUGCCUUAAAUUAAUCAUUUUUUGGUCAGGCUCUAUUUGUUAAUGUUCAAUCUGGAUUACUAAAUGUAUUUGAAUGAACAUUCAAGGGAAUGUCAUAUUUCAUAUUUUUGUGUUAAAAGUUUGUCUUUAACUGCCAUUUUAUGUACUCAUUCUAUUUUAUUCUUUAUAGUAUUUUUUUGGGUAUUUAAUUAUGUCUGGAAAUAAUUUAUAGCUCAGAAGUAAGACCAUACGUUUCAAAUGCAAUUUAUAUUUUUAUACAUGUCACUGCAAAGACCGGUAACCUUUAAUUCUACUGCAAGCAUGCUGCUAAUGCAACAAGCUCAUCUUAUUGGGAUAUUAGGGACCAAAAAUUUGAGGAGAAUGUUGUUCCUUUGGCCAUAUUUUACAGUUCAAUUGAGUCGAUCAACAUUCCAUCUAUUAUUUGGGAUCACUAAGAGCUUGAGAUUUCGUUUGAAAUAUUGUUGAAAUGGUUGGACCAGGAUAGAUUUGGACUAGAUGUGGAAUUUGUGCAAGAAAUUUUAGAACAACUUCCUAGGGCCAUAGCCUGUCGCUUCUAUGUAUUUUUGAAAGAAAGAAGUGCAUAUUCUUUCAUCCUUAACAGUUGGAAAUGGGUUACUGCUUGCUAAAACAAAGGAUGGAACUCAUCUUACAAAUGAGGAAACAUUAGAUGAUUCAUUUGAAGGUUGUCAAGAAGCCAAGACUCCGAAAUUUCAAUACUCUGUAAUAGAGAAUCAUUUUUUCUUUCCUGGAAAGCCUAUUAGUUCAAGGCUUCCUAAGCUUCUGAGUGAUGCUCUUCAAGUAUGUAUGUUUUUGUUGCAUAUUAGUUCAAUAUCUAUGUUAUUUAUAAUUAAUUUUUGUUUUUAGAAUUAUAAAUUUUGGUUUUGUUAUAAUGGGGCAUGAGUUUGUUUGCUAUAUCCUAAGAAAAUGAUUGGUGAUAUCAGGUAUCAAUCCGUUAUUCAUUGUAGUCCGUGCAUUGCACGGGCUAUCACCUAGUACAUAAAAUAAAACUGUGUAAAGAAAAAACCUGC